GAUGAACGCUGGCGGCGUGCCUAAUACAUGCAAGUCGAGCGAACAGACGAGGAGCUUGCUCCUCUGACGUUAGCGGCGGACGGGUGAGUAACACGUGGAUAACCUACCUAUAAGACUGGGAUAACUUCGGGAAACCGGAGCUAAUACCGGAUAAUAUAUUGCACCGCAUGGUUCAAUAGUGAAAGACGGUUUUGCUGUCACUUAUAGAUGGAUCCGCGCCGCAUUAGCUAGUUGGUAAGGUAACGGCUUACCAAGGCGACGAUGCGUAGCCGACGUGAGAGGCUGGUCGGCCGCACUAGAACGGGGACGCGGUCCAGACGCCUACGAGAGGCAGCAGUAUGGUAUCUGCCGCAAUAGUGGGAAGCCUUGCGCAGCGACGCCGCGUGAGAGGUAGAGAUGUUGGGUGCGGAAAGCUCUGUUAUUGGGGAAAAACAAAUGUGUAAGUAACUAAGCCCGUCGUGACGGUACCGAGUCAGAAAGCCACGGCUAACUACGUG
This 497-nucleotide ribosomal RNA is filed under the name uncultured bacterium. Its description in RNAcentral is "partial 16S ribosomal RNA". It matches the Rfam family "Bacterial small subunit ribosomal RNA", at positions 28 to 507 of the family's 1533-position model. The record is from RNAcentral.